ACCUGCAGUUUAGACUAGGUAAUUCCUCUGAAGCUAAGCAUGUCUGAGCCUGGCCAGUACUUGGGAGAUGGGAGAUCAUGUAGGAGAGCUGGGUUGCUGCUGGAA
This 105-nucleotide ribosomal RNA is filed under the name Paramormyrops kingsleyae. Lineage: Eukaryota; Metazoa; Chordata; Actinopteri; Osteoglossiformes; Mormyridae. The record is from RNAcentral.